AAAAAAAAAAUAUUAAAGUUUUAACGAAAGCAAAGAAAACAAGUUUAAAAACGAGGACUGUGUAAUUAUGUCAAAAACUAAAAUGUGUUGUUGAUAAUUGAAACAUUUUAAUAUAUACUACAUCGUUUGUAAGUUUGUUACUUUUUUUCCUUCUCCUAACGCUACUGCUCCUUCCUUUACACUUUGGACUCUUUGUACGUGUGUCAGCCAACCAACCAAACAACCAGUCAAGCACAAACAUCUCUUUCUUCUUCAUUCAUUUAUAAUCUUCAUCUGUAACAUUGUUUAAGGAAAUGUUUUAUAGCACUAAAUUUAAGUAGACUAGAAGUAAAUUUAAAUAAAAAUUUAAGGGAAAUUAAUUACAAUUAAGGAGUAUAAGAAAAAAACAAACAAUAACUGCCAUUGUAAUGAAAACAACAAAUACAUGAAAUAUAUUAAAAAGUAAUUUUCAAAUUGAAAAUAAAAACAAAAAACUGCAACAAAAGAAAAAAAAAAACAAUAAAAAGCUGCCACAAAAGAACUAAUACAACAACACCUCCCUAAAAAAAACAGCCAACAAUUUCAGAACAAAAACCAUGAAUGUGAAAUCAACGACUUGACAAAUUCCAAAACACAACAGUCAAUCAAAGUAGUUGCAAAGAGGAGUCAAGAGGAAAAAAACAAGGACUAUAAAACGAAACAAAAAUUUUUAAUAGCCUGCCACAGGGUUAAAGCAACAAACAGAAAAACCUUUAAUUGAAAGUUGGCUUUAUGAAGGAUGAAAAAAACAACUAAAAAUGAUAAGUUAUACAAAUGCCAAAAAAGCCAAGAGGCUGUAGAGGUAAAUUAAUAAAAAGGAAAAACUUUAAAGAAAAACAAAACAAAUCAAAACUUUCUUAAAGACACUAAAAAAUUUUACGAAAUUAUUAUUAACGACGCUCGCUACCAAUGAAUGAAUCCGCGUUUGUAAUUGAAACAACAAAAACAACAACAGCAGCAGCAACAGCAAGACAUCAUACAGAAACACAUUACGUGGUUGGCGUAUUGAAGCAGACAUUUUCAACGGGAACCCCCACAGCGGCUAAAGCAUCAUUAACAGCCACAACAACGACAACAACAUCAUUAGCUACAAACACAACAGUUACUACUACUACUACUGCAUACAACAUAACAGCAACACAAAAGCGACAAGCUGUUACAUUUCUAUUAACACUACAACAACCAGCCACACCACCUCUAAUAAGAACACAACUACCACCCAUAAAAUUACGUUUGAGACUACAAUUGCUACGACUGCAAAACUACUUUCCUGGCAGCAGUUUAAGUAAAACUACAAAUUUAGAAUAUUUAAGUUGGUGGCUUAAAUGUAGUAGUUGUGGCUUUAGUAACACGCUUAAACAAGGCUUCAGAUAGCAAAAAAGCAUUUUACUUUGGGUUGGUUUCUAAAUCUAACAUUUAAUCUCCCUUUGUCUUGCACUCUACUCUAUAUAUCUCUCUCUGUUUAAAAUUUGUCAUUUGUGGCUUUGCAGCUCUUUCACACACUCUCUACAACCACCGCUAAGAAAAAAUAACGAACUACAAAAAGUUUUUAAACUACUUAAGCUACAACGAAUUGUAUAACUAAUACUAACAACUACGAGAUUUCCUUAAAACCGGACAACAACAACAAAACGUUAAAUACUUAAAAUUUUCUUUAAUUAUCUAUAAAAAUUAAAAUAAUAACAUAAAAAUUAAUAACAAUAACUGCAAAGAAAGAAAAACAGCAACAACAAUAACAUAAUGAUUGCCAUUGUUUCAAAGAUUUUUAAAAGUGCUUACAUUUUUACUCUGGACAAUUGACAGCAAGAGCAGCAGCAGCCAACAAAACAGCAGUAGCAGCAGAACUUUUGCUUUAGAACUAAAUUAACAAAACCUCCUGAAAAAAACAUAGUAACUGCAAACAAAAACAAAAACUAUUGCUUUACCACAUUUUUCCUUUAAAUACUUCAUUGUCAUUUUUUCGACUCAUAUUUCCCAAUUCAUUGUUUGCUCCUUCGCAUGCCAACGGGUAGAAAUCAUCCAUUGCUUUAUUAAGGCUUCUUCAAACCACAACAUCACUACCACCUACCAAAGCAGCAACAACAUCAACAACCACCAACCCUGUCUUUAACAAUUGCAGCAAAAAAGGACUUAGACAACAGCAAACAACAACGACGACAACAACAAAACUAAAAUUUGUAUACAUUCAGAAAGAGAGAGUGUGGAACGUAAAGAAAAACAAAAAAGAUUUUCAACUUGAUCUUUUGUUUUGCAUAUUUUUGUUUUGUUGUUUCGGUUUUCUUAAACAAAGAGGGCACCAACGAAUUUUUGCUCAUCGCACCACAAAAAAAAAAAAUACAAAAUCAAAAACAGCAACAGCAACAAGAACAACUACAUAAAGGAUAUAAGCAGAAAACAAGAACAAAAAAACAUCACAAAAGGGGAAAUGAGAUGAAGUGGUUUCAAGUGGCAUUAGAUAUGAUUCUUGUGCUUUCAUUCAUAUCAAGUAAGUACAUAUGAAAUGUUAUUGUUAUUAUUAUUAUUUUUUCUCUUUUUUGGUUCUUUCUGUUGUUUUAUUAUUAUAGUUGUUGUAUUUAUUUUAAAUACAAUACUAUGUAUUGUCUAUGUAAAGUAUAUGCAAACAACCAAAUAUAAAUCUUUGUAUAAACGUUUUGAAUUCAAUUACAGUGUGGGUUAUUUACAAAUAUUCUUAAAUGUGAUUUUAGGCAAAAAUUCUGAAAUCAAAAAAUGUUCAUAUUAAUCGUAAUUGCGUUUAAAUAUAUUUUACCUUAUAUAAAUAUGACCUUUAAUACUGAAAUUAUGGAUAGACAGACAUUGCACUCUGGGUCGUAAAGCGAUUAUGUAUUAACAGCUCGAAAAUAACGUCAAAAUUAUGAUA
Long non-coding RNA from Lucilia sericata (common green bottle fly), 2896 nucleotides. RefSeq lists it as uncharacterized. The record is from RefSeq and is a predicted model, not a curated record. Lineage: Eukaryota; Metazoa; Arthropoda; Insecta; Diptera; Calliphoridae. The transcript has 4 exons.